GGAUGAACGCUGGCGGCGUGCCUAAUACAUGCACGUCGAGCGAACAGACGAGGAGCUUGCUCCUCUGACGUUAGCGGCGGACGGGUGAGUAACACGUGGAUAACCUACCUUUAAGACUGGGAUAACUUCGGGAAACCGGAGCUAAUACCGGAUAAUAUAUUGAACCGCAUGGUUCAAUAGUGAAAGACGGUUUUGCUGUCACUUAUAGAUGGAUCCGCGCCGCAUUAGCUAGUUGGUAAGGUAACGGCUUACCAAGGCAACGAUGCGUAGCCGACCUGAGAGGGUGAUCGGCCACACUGGAACUGAGACACGGUCCAGACUCCUACGGGAGGCAGCAGUAGGGAAUCUUCCGCAAUGGGCGAAAGCCUGACGGAGCAACGCCGCGUGAGUGAUGAAGGUCUUCGGAUCGUAAAACUCUGUUAUUAGGGAAGAACAAAUGUGUAAGUAACUAUGCACGUCUUGACGGUACCUAAUCAGAAAGCCACGGCUAACUACGUG
RNAcentral lists this ribosomal RNA (498 nucleotides) under uncultured bacterium. RNAcentral describes it as "partial 16S ribosomal RNA". It matches the Rfam family "Bacterial small subunit ribosomal RNA", at positions 27 to 507 of the family's 1533-position model. The record is from RNAcentral.